This 442-nucleotide ribosomal RNA is filed under the name uncultured bacterium. RNAcentral's name for it is "partial 16S ribosomal RNA". It matches the Rfam family "Bacterial small subunit ribosomal RNA", at positions 338 to 795 of the family's 1533-position model. The record is from RNAcentral.
CCUACGGGGGGCAGCAGUGGGGAAUAUUGGGCAAUGGGCGCAAGCCUGACCCAGCAACGCCGCGUGAAGGAAGAAGGCUUUCGGGUUGUAAACUUCUUUUAAGGGGGACGAACAAAUGACGGUACCCCUUGAAUAAGCAACGGCUAACUACGUGCCAGCAGCCGCGGUAAUACGUAGGUGGCAAGCGUUAUCCGGAUUUAUUGGGUGGAAAGGGCGUGUAGGCGGGAGCGCAAGUCAGAUGUGAAAACUCAGGGCUCAACCCUGAGCCUGCUGUUGAAACUGUGUUUCUUGAGUGCUGGAGAGGCAAGCGGAAUUCCGUGUGUAGCGGUGAAAUGCGUAGAUAUACGGAGGAACACCAGUGGCGAAGGCGGAUUGCUGGACAGUAACUGACGCUGAGGCGCGAAAGCGUGGGGAGCAAACAGGAUUAGAUACCCUUGUAGUC